GAUGAACGCUGGCGGCGUGCCUAAUACAUGCAAGUCGAGCGAACGGACGAGAAGCUUGCUUCUCUGAUGUUAGCGGCGGACGGGUGAGUAACACGUGGAUAACCUACCUAUAAGACUGGGAUAACUUCGGGAAACCGUAGCUAAUACCGGAUAAUAUUUUGAACCGCAUGGUUCAAAAGUGAAAGACGGUCUUGCUGUCACUUAUAGAUGGAUCCGCGCUGCAUUAGCUAGUUGGUAAGGUAACGGCUUACCAAGGCAACGAUGCAUAGCCGACCUGAGAGGGUGAUCGGCCACACUGGAACUGAGACACGGUCCAGACUCCUACGGGAGGCAGCAGUAGGGAAUCUUCCGCAAUGGGCGAAAGCCUGACGGAGCAACGCCGCGUGAGUGAUGAAGGUCUUCGGAUCGUAAAACUCUGUUAUUAGGGAAGAACAUAUGUGUAAGUAACUGUGCACAUCUUGACGGUACCUGAUCAGAAAGCCACGGCUAACUACGUG
Molecule: ribosomal RNA, 497 nt
Filed under: uncultured bacterium
Lineage: Bacteria
Description: partial 16S ribosomal RNA
Rfam family: Bacterial small subunit ribosomal RNA
Source: RNAcentral